UGAACUCAUUAUUGUCUAAUUAGACAUGAUAGUUGACAAAGUUACCACGAGGAAAGUUGACUAUGUAAAAUAAAUGGGUAUAUUGAUUAAAAGAAGAACAUUAUGACAGUAAAUGAUAUAAAGCCAAACUGGUUUUGAAGGAAUAUCAAAAUAAAGUUAUGCUAAGAAUUUCUCUCUUGUAAUGAAACUAACAACAUCUACAGGUAAUUGGACAGAUGGUAUAGAAAGAAUUGCACCUAGGGCAAUUGGAUGUAAGGACGGUCCUUUUUUCAUGGUGAUUUGGACGAAAAAAUUACAAGAUGCAAAUAUAAGUUUUCGAGGUACAAAAACAGGGGAAAAUGGUAUGUGGACUUUAAAAUAGUUUGCAUAGUCUUAAAUUAGUUUGGAGAGAGUGUUAUUAGUGGUUUGAUAGUUUUAUUAGGAGUAAUGGCUUCAUAAGGUGCCACAUGGAUCAUUGUUGUUAUGUAAGGAAUCUUGGUAUCUCCUAUAUUAUCUAAUGGGUAUAUGUGAUUGUAGGUGCUUGCAAAAAUGAAGUGACAAGUUCAAAAAUGAGUUAUCCAAUGAACUUACAAAGAAGAAUUUGGGUGUUAUAAAAUAAAUUCUCGAGAUGAGAAUUACAAAGGACAGUGUCAUCUUGAAACUUUCACAAGAAUAGUAUGUGAAGAAGGUGUUGAGCAGGUUCAUGAUAAUGUAAAAUGAAUAAGCACUCCUUUGACUAGUGACUUCAAGCUAUCCAAUGAGCAGCCACCCUCUACGAAACAAGAGUGGAACUACAUAGUUAAGAUGCCUUAUGCCUAUUUUAUUGAAUCUUAUGUAUACCAUAGUGUGAUCGAAGCUAGCAAAGAAAUAAUAUGGUUGUAGUCUUUCUUGGAAGAAUUGUGUCACGUUGUAUUGUA
RNAcentral lists this long non-coding RNA (896 nucleotides) under Olea europaea subsp. europaea. Lineage: Eukaryota; Viridiplantae; Streptophyta; Magnoliopsida; Lamiales; Oleaceae. The record is from RNAcentral.